This 1586-nucleotide long non-coding RNA is filed under the name Xyrichtys novacula (pearly razorfish). The record is from RNAcentral. Lineage: Eukaryota; Metazoa; Chordata; Actinopteri; Labriformes; Labridae.
AACAGCUGCUGCCUCAAAUUACACAAAACAAACCGGAGUUUCAUUUAGUGAGAAACUGCAGGAGUUUCAGUCAGACAGACAUGUUCAUCAGGGAACCGUCAUCUCAUCAUCUCAUACUGCGGGAACAGAAACUACAGAGUACAGCUACUGUAAAAAUACAGGUGAGAGAUCCUCAGUACAGAGGAAAACCAGAGACUGAAUAUAAAUAUUUAUAUAUAUAUAUAUAUACAUAUAUGUGUAUAUAUAUAUAUAUAUAUAUAUAUAUACAUAUAUGUGUAUAUAUAUAUAUAUAUACACAUAUAUGUAUAUAUAUAUAUAUACAUAUAUGUGUAUAUAUAUAUAUAUAUAUAUAUAUAUAGAUAUAUAUAUAGAUAUACAUAUAUAUAUAAAAUAUAAAUAUAAAUAUACAUAUAUGUAUAUAUAUACAUAUAUAUAUAUAUAAAUAUACAUAUAUGUAUAUAUACAUAUAUGUAUAUAUACAUAUAUGUAUAUAUACAUAUAUAUAUUAUAUAUAUGUAUAUAUAUAUAUAUAUACAUAUAUGUAUAUAUAUACAUAUAUAUAUAUAUAUACAUAUAUAUAUAUAUAUAUAUAUGUAUAUAUACAGUCUAUGGUAAAAAUAAAUAAAUAAAUAAAACAGAGUCAAUAGUACAGAGGUGUUUCAUUGCUCAUUACUAGCGUUACUAGGGAAUGACGUUACACCCGAGUUGACGGCGGUCCAGUAAACAAGACGGAAAACUAAGAUUGACGCCUACAGUUACCCGAUGUUAGCUGUUGUUUACAAUUGUCAGUUGUUGUCAGUUGUUGUCAGCGGUUGUAAAUAAAGCAUAAUACAGUAUUUUAUUCUGAAAGAUGCUGGUCAGUACGACAUAAACCACUUAUUUAAUUUCACUAAAACAAAACAGAAGAGCUGAUAAUUAAAACAUAACGAGAGUUUUCACUGUUACUCGUUACUGAUGAUGCACUGCGCUGCCAUAUUGAAUUAUGACGUCGACGUCAAGUCAGGGUUGGCGAGGAUCGUCCGACUUUCAGAGUCGGAAAUCCGACUUCAGGGGGGCGUUCCAGAUGAUUUUCCGACUUGGAGCGCGGAAAUCCCGAUUUCCAAGUACAACUGGAACGCAGCAUUAGUCACGCCAUUACGUAACACCGCUACUUUUGCUACAAUCGAGUUAAGUCGGAACUCAGAUGUCGGAGCUGAAAAUGACGUCACAUCUGAAUUCCCGGCGUUUCAGUUACAAAGUCGGAAAAAAGCAAAAUCGGAGAAACAAGAUGGCGACAUCUACGAAAGUUACUUUAGCGCUUACCUUACAUUCAGACAAAGCAAAAAUAACUAAAAUAAGGCCAAAGUAACUUUCAGUCGCCAUGUUAAGAUGCUGAGGAGGAGGAGGAGGAGGAGGAGGAGAAGAGGAAGAGGAGGAGAGGAAAAGGAGGAUCCUCAUGUCUUAAAUCUGAAGGCCUCUGUUUCCCUCUCAGGUCGAUGGUUUCUGGUUUCUGCUCUCUGAGUGGACAGCGGUGAGGAAGUCCUCGGCGAACACUGCGUCCUGUAAGAAGCUGCCGUUUCCUCCUCGCUGCCCAAACAACAAUCAGC